UUUAUGAAACCCUGUGCAAUCCAAAAUUGAACAAGCGCUUGUACUUCAAUUCUGUAAUCUUUUGGAUACAAUCGGCAAUAAGCAAAGCAAUGCUUCAAAUGAGACGGGAGAUGAUCAUAACUCAAUUUCAGUAUAGGUAGAAGUUCUCCUUCAAUUUUUGAAAUUUUAGCAAGUUCAUUUUCUUUGAAAGAAUGCCACUCAUUUGCAGUUUUCUUCAAAGAUAAUGUACCAGCUAUCGUCCUUAUGGCUAAGGGAACCCCACCACACCUUUCCGAAAUCUGUCUCCCUACUUCCACAAAGGCUGAAUUUGUUGAGUCUGCAUGUCCUUGCUCAAAUGCUAUCUUUUUGAACAAAGACCAAGCAUCAUCAUCAGACAAGCCUUUCAAUUUCAAAACAUGGGAUUGACAUUUAUUAGUUAUCUCCGCUACCCUCAGAGAUCGAGUAGUUACUAUUAUCCUACUCCCUUUAGCCCCACCCACCAAUAACUUCUUUAGCCUAGACCACUUUUCUAGGUCCUCAUUCCAAAUGUCAUCCAAAACAAGCAAAUAUUUUUUCCCAUCAAUUUUAUCUCGAAGUUGUUUUUGCAAUUGAUCCAUUUCAAGAUUUUGAUCAGGUGCAUGAUGAGUCACAGAUUUGAUAAUGUUUGCUACAAUAGCUUUCACAUCAAAAUCAUCUGAAACACACGCAAACAUCGUUAAGUCAAAAUGAUUUUUGACCUUUCAUGGUUAUAGACAAGUUGGGCCAAAGCAGUCUUCCCUAACCCUCCAAACCCCACAAUUGGAAUGAUAUAAACAUUCUCUUCACUUUGAAACUCCAACACGAGUUUUAGAAGAGCUGCUUUAUCAUCAUCCCUCCCUAUUAUGUCAUCUUAACACUCAAAAGAGUGCGUUUGCUGCCUCCUUUUAGUCAUGAAAGAGGUUUUCGCGGGGCGAUCAUGCGGAAUGAAGCCAAAAGUGUUGGUCCCGCUUUCAAUUGAAGCUAAUCUCGCCUUAAUGGCCUUCAUUUUCCGACCCAUUUUGAGACCAUAAGCAAAUUGGUUUGAGGUUGAGAAGAAAAGGCGUACCUCUUUCGUCAGCUUGUUCCCACCCGAUACAUCUUUCCGCAAAGCUUCAGUAGAGAAAUCAUCAAGCAAGUCGUCGGCAUCAUAAAGUACAUCUUUCAGCUCUUCAAGCCAAACUUUGACGAGAUUGUCAGUCACCGAUUUCUCUUCUGCGUCAAGAAGCACAGCUUUGAUUUGACAGACAGUGCGUUUGAGGUCGUGGAUGUCAUGUUUUAGAUUCCACCACAGCCCAACUUGAGAGAGAGCACGAGAGCUCAACUUAAUAAUGAGCUCUGCGGCAAUGUCGAAAGCAAUUGCUUCGGCCAUUGGUGGUUCAAACUGAAAUCAAUGCAAAAAGUGUUUGAUUCGUGAAAGAGGAGGACUAAUAUGAGAAUGAUUCCAACAAGAUGAAACACAGAUGUAGAUCCAUACACGCGGAGACUGAAGUAUAUUUAUAGAUGUUACCAUCCACCCAGCAAGUAGUAUAAUUAAAUAAAAAGUAAUUUUAAGAGAUUCAUUAAUAUAAUUAUUUGUCUAUGCAAUAUGUCAAAGUAAAAUGUAAGAGGUUGAUUUGGCAUAUCCCAAAACAUUUUGUUAUAGUUUGGAUGGUCAUUCUUGUCAAGUUACCUAUCAUUGGCAAAGCUUGGUAGAGACUCUUAAAAUGGUAAAUUUUUAAUUUAAACCUUUUAUAAUUUAUAAAAUUUUAAAUUAAUAAUGAUAAAAUUAUAAUUUAAUCCUCUAAAAAUUUAUAAAAAAAUUAAUUUAACUCUUUAAAAAUUAUAAAAAUAUACUACUAUAAAAAUAUAUAAUUUAAUUCUGACUAAAAAUUUUUUUAGCUCGGCUACCGUUGCCUAUAAAAGAAAAAUAAAUUUCGUUUUCCACACAAUAUGUGGAGAGAUAUUGGGUUUAUGUCAGCUCCAUGGGAAUGUAUUUUAUUGGAAUUGAAGGAAAAAUCAUUACUUAUACCCUCGUGAAGAUUGCUUCCAAUGCCCAUAUCUAUUUAAUUAUUUUAUUACUCAUAAAAUUGUUUAUUGUGAGUUGGAUGCUUUUGGUUUGAUUAUUUAAGAUGUUUUAUUUUUAAAUAUAUUCUUAAUUAUUUAUUUUACAUAUACAUGUAUUUUAACUUAAUAUAUUUAAUAGUGAUUUUGUUUUUUAUAAAAAAAGGACCCAAAGGUACUACCUCAUUUUAAGUUGCAUCAUAAAUUACAAUGUUAUGGAUAUCGCUAGGAUAAUUCAUCCCAAAAGACAAAUUACAACACUUAGAAAGAGCCCAAUUACGAAGAGAAUCGACUAAUUUGUUACAACCACGUUUCACCCAUUUGACCUCGGCGGAAACAAAAGAAUCAAGCAUCUUGUGAGCUCAUUGAUGCAGUGAUCAAGGGUCGUUAUGUCCUCUUUGUGAAAACUAAAGCGGUUGACAAUGCUAGCACAAUCUGCUUCAAAUGACAUUAUCGGCUUCAAAAAAUUGAGCAUGCCGAAAACCAUCGAUGAGGGCAUCUAAUUCUGCUUUAAUAGUGAUUUUUUAUUCUCAUUUUAUCGGUAUAUUUGUUGGAACAUUUUCAAAUAUUUAUAGUGUUCCAAUAACUAUAAAUGAAUGGGUGUAAUUAAUCAAAAGAUUACAUUAUUUGAUUUUUUUGAAAAAGAGUUAUAACUAUUUAAAUAAUAUUAUUUGAAUAGUUAUAAAUGUAUAAUUAUGUGUUUAUUUUUAAGACAUUAUUAUUCAGAAAGACACCUAUUGAUGAAGAGACAUGAAAAUUUCUAUAAGUAGGAAUGGAAUUUCAUUUGGAAAACAUACCAAAAAAUUCUAAAUAUUCUUUCUUUCCUUCAUUCAUUUUCUAAUAUUAUUAGAUUAUUCUAUAAAGUAUUACUGCAGAAAUUCUUUGUAGAAAUUGAGUUUUUGAUAUAUAUUGCUUAGUGCUUAGUGGACUAUUCUCGUCAGUGCAAAACGCAAAUAGUCAUUAGCUUCAUUGUAUCCUCGAGGUUAAUUUGCUUGAAACUCAUUUGCACACCGAAGAUAGGUGGGGGUGAAUAUAACCUUAAAGAUAGUGGCUUGAUACACGCCUUGGAGCAUUGCCAUUUUUCUUCUUUUUCUGUUCGAGUUCUGUUUGUGUGUUCGAGAUUUUUCUCACUGGAGUUUUGUACUAACAAUUUUAAGGUUAUAAUUCAUGAUGACUACCACAACACAUGAAAGUGGAACACUAAGGGAGUUGGCUUCCAACUUUGUUAAACUUGAUCGGUUUGAUGGUUGUAAUUUUCGACGAUGAUAGAAAAAUAUGCACUUCUUAUUAUCAACUUUGAAGAUUGCUUAUGUUUUGGAUACUCCAAGACCUGAAGAGAAUGAAAACCAAUCUGUUGUUGCAACUUGAGAAAGAUAAAAAUGGGACAAUGCUGACUACAUGUGCAUGGGCCACAUAUUGAAUGGUUUAUCUGAUGGUUUGUUUGACACCUACCAAAACGAGGUCACCGCUAAAGAAUUAUGGGACAAAUUGGAGACAAGAUACAUGACUGAAGAUGUUACAAGUAAGAAAUUUCUUGUCAGUCGUUUCAAUAAUUAUCAAAUGGUUGAUGGUCAUUCUAUUAUGGAACAAUUCCGUGAUAUUGAAAAGAUGUUGAAUCAAUUCAAGCAAUAUGAUAUGAAAAUGGAUGAAAUGAUUGUUGUAUCCUCCAUAAUAGACAAACUUCCUCCAUCUUGGAAAGACUUUAAAAGAAGUCUAAAACAUAAGAAAGAGGAAAUAUCUCUUGAGGCUUUGGCAAAUCAUCUUCGUAUUGAAGAAGAGUAUAGAAAACAAGAUCAAAACCUAAAUUCUGAAAAUGCCAAAGUGCAUGUUACGGAAGAAGUACAGACUACUAAACCAUUCAAGAGAAAGUUUAAACAGACUGAUAAAGUACCUAAGUUCAAAAAGAAACAAAAGGGCUCAUGCUAUCAUUGUGAAAAAUCGGGACAUUUCAAGAAUGAAUGUCGAUUUUUAAAGAAGAAAUCAUCUUUUAAGGCUGAUAAUAACGAAAAAUUCGUUGCAAUGAAAUCUGAAAUUAAUAUGGCACAAGAUGAAAGUACAUGGUGGAUUGAUACCGGAGCAACCAAACAUGUGUGCAAAGACAAAAGCAUGUUCACAAAGUCCACACAAUGAAAAAAUGACAAUGUCUUGUACAUGGGAAAUUCUUCCACCGCAGCAAUCAAAGGCAAAGGGUCUGUUGAACUACAAUUCACUUCUGGAAAGGUUUUAACCUUAAAUGAUGUAUAUUAUGUACCAGAAGUUUGAAAUAAUUUAGUGUCUGGAAGUCUGUUGAAUAAGUUUGGUUUCAAACUUGUUUUUGAGGCAGAUAAGUUUAUUUUGUCUAAGGGAGGAAUUUUUGUGGGGAAAGGGUAUAUGUAUGAGAGCAUGUUCAAACUCAAUAUUAUUAAUAAAAAUAAAAAUACUAUUUCUACUUAUAUGGUUGAAUUUUUUUGUUUGUAGCAUUAUAGAUUAGGUCAUUUGAAUUAUAGAAAAUUGAAUGACAUGUAUAAGUUAGAUUUAAUUCCUAUUUUUAAUAAUAACAUUGAAAAAUGCAAUACAUGUAUGUUGACUAAAAUUACAAGAAACCCUUUCCCUAAGGUUAAAAGGAAAACAAAAUUGCUUGAUUUGAUACAUAGUGAUUUAUGUGACAUGCAUAAUACUCCUACAUUAGGUGGAAAGAAAUAUUUUGUUACUUUUAUUAAUGAUUGUUCUAGAUAUUGUUAUGUAUAUUUAUUGCAUUCAAUAGAUGAAGCGCUUAAUAAAUUUAAAGUUUAUAAAUCUGAAGUUAAACUUCAGUGUGAGUCAUUUAUCAAGUGCUUAAGAUCAGAUAGAGGUGAAGAAUACUAUAAUCCAAGUUAUUUUGAAUCCACUGGAAUUGUCCAUCAAGUUUCAGCCCCUUACACACUACAACAAAAUGGUGUAGCUGAAAGGAAAAAUAGAAUCUUGACUGAAAUGGUAAAUUCAAUGUUAUCAUAUUCAGGUAUUGGACAAGGUUUUAGGGCGAAGCUGUUCUAACAACUUGUCAUAUAUUUAAUAAAGUUCCUAAUAAGGAAACUAAAAUAACCCCCUAUGAACAAUGGAAGAAAAGGAAACCAAACCUUAAUUAUUUGAAGGUUUUGGGUUGUAGAGCUAUUGUAAAAGUUCCAACACCUAAACAUAAAAAGUUAGGUGAAAGAGGAAUUGAAUGCAUAUUUAUAGGUUAUGCACAUAAUAGCAAGGCAUAUAGGUUCAUGGUAAUUGAACCAAAUGAUUCAAUUUCAAUUAAUAAUGUUAUUGAAUCAAGAUAUGCUAUUUUUGAUGAAAAUAGAUUUAAUUCUAUAUCAAGACAAUUACAGCCACAACAAUUGAUUCAUUCUUCAAAUGAGAAUGAGAUUCCAUUGGAACAAAUUGAUAAUAAUAAUGAAUCUUGUCAAGAAUUAAGAAGAAGUAAGAGGAUUAAAAAGGUCAAAGAUUUUGGACCAGAUUUUAUUAUGUUUCUUGUAAAAGAAAAAGGUGAAAGUAUAUGCAAUAAGAUACCUUAUUGUUAUAAUACAGAAUCUGAUCCUAUUACAUUUGAAGAGGGCAAUGAAAUCUCAAGACUCUACUUUUUGGAAAGAAGCAAUAAAUGAUGAGAUGGAUUCAAUAAUGGGAAAUCAAACUUGGAUCUUAGUUGAUCUUCCACCAGGUUCUAAACUAAUAGGUUGUAAAUGGAUCUUCAAAAAGAAAAUGAAGGUCGAUGGAACCAUUGAUAAAUUUAAAGCAAGGUUGGUAGCCAAAGGUUUUAUACAAAAACAAGGUAUUGAUUACUUUGAUACCUAUGCUCCAGUAGCAAGAAUUGCUACAAUUAGACUCUUAAUAUCACUUACCUCUAUAUAUAAUUUAGUUUUUCACCAAAUGGAUGUUAAAAUUGUAUUUUUAAAUGGUGAAUUAGAUGAGGAAGUGUACAUGGAGUAACCGGAAGGAUUUAUUGUUCUAGGACAAGAGCAUAAGGUAUGUAAGCUUGUUAAAUCUUUAUAUGGGCUUAAACGAGCACCAAAACAAUGGCACCAAAAGUUUGACAAGGUUGUUUUAGCUAAUAGCUAUAAAAUAAAUGAAUCUGAUAAGUGCAUAUAUAGCAAAUUUGAAAAUGGAAAAGGUGUCAUAAUUUGCUUAUAUGUAGAUGACAUGCUCAUUUUUUGCACGGAUUUGGAAUAAAUAGAAAACACAAAGAAAUUCUUGUCAAACAACUUUGCUAUGAAGGAUAUGAGUGUAGCAGAUGUUAUUCUUGGGAUUAAAAUAACCCGAGAUGAAAGCACUAUAGCUUUAUCACAAUCACAUUACAUUGAAAAUGUGCUUAAAAAGUUUGAUCUUUUCAACUGUAUACCAGCAUCUACACCCAUGGAUCCUCAAAUAAAAUUAGUAUCUAAUGCUAGUAGGAAAAUUGAUCAAUUGAAAUAUGCAAGUCUAAUUGGUUGUCUUAUGUACAUAAUGACUUGUACAAGACCAGAUAUUUCAUAUGUUGUUGGAAAAUUGAAUAGGUACACAAGUAAUCCAAGUAGUUUGCAUUGGCAAGCUUUGAAUAGAGUACUUAAGUACUUAAAGAAAACUAUUAACUAUGGAUUGUGUUAUAACAGAUAUCCUCCAGUUUUAGAAGGUUAUUCGGAUGCUAGUUAGAUUACAAGUUUGGAAGAUCAUGCAUUUACUAGUGGAUGGAUCUUCAUUCUUGGUAGAUGAGCCAUUUCUUGGGGUUCCAAGAAACAAACAUGUAUUACUAAUUCCACCAUGGCAGCAGAAUUUAUUGCAUUAGCUGCUGCAUUUAAAGAGGCAGAAUGGUUAAGAAAUUUUCUUUAUGAUGUACCUUUAUGGCCUUAGCCAAUUUCACCUAUUUCUAUCCGUUGUGAUAGUGAGGCUACUCUAGCAAAGGCAUAUAGCCAAGUAUAUAAUGGAAAGUCUAGACACAUUGGAUUAAGACAUAGUUAUGUCCGAUAAUUAAUCUCUGAUGGAGUGAUCACUAUUAAUUAUGUGAGGUCAAGUGAAAAUUUGGCAGAUCCUUUGACAAAAAGUCUUGCUAGAGAUAUAAUAAAAAGGACCUCAAAAGGGAUGGAACUCAAGCCCAUUAAUUAGAGUCACCCAUGAUGGAAACUCAAAUCAAUGCUUGGUAUAACGUCAAGUCUUGAGUUCAAUGAGACAAAGUACAUCAUUAGUAUGUGACUGUUAGCACUAUAAAUAAAUCCAUCCUAAGAUUAAAGUGCUAGGUAUCCGUAAUGAUAAGGAAAGGAUGAAUAAUGUACUCUUAACGGACCCAUAACAGAAAUAUGUUAGAGUGUUAUAAUUACGGGAACACUCUUAAUGGGAUCUACCUAUGUGAGUGGAAGUGCGGCCGCUUCUAGGAGCUCAAGGGUUUGACUCUGACAGCACUCAUGAAAAGAGGACACAGACAUAUGGCCAUAAUAGUGUCUUUAGAUAUUAUGCAUUGGCCGAUGUUGAAAUCAUUGUACGAGAUGUGUUCAGUUAAUCAAAUGGAAUAGUUGGUUCAAAGCUUUGUCUACCGUGCAUUUUUUAUUAACUUUAACAUAUAUUCACUAAGUGAAGGUUCAAUCGUAAGAUAUCUUCAUUUAUGCAAAUUGAUUUCCAAGAAUAUCAAAAUCUAAAAUAUUUUGAAAAUGGGGGGGAGAUUGUUGGAACAUUUUCAAAUAUUUAUAGUGUUUCAAUAACUAUAAAUGAAUGGGUGUAAUUAAUCAAAAGAUUAUAUUAUUUGAUUUUUUGAAAAGGAGUUAUAACUAUUUAAAUAAUAUUAUUUGAAUAGUUAUAAAUGAAUAAUUAUGUGUUUAUUUUUAAGACAUUAUUAUUCAGAAAGACACCUAUUAAUGAAAGAUGUCUCUAUGAAGAGACAUGAAAAUUCCUAUAAAUAGGAAUGGGAUUUCAUUUGGAAAACAUACCAAAAAAUUUCAAAUAUUCUUUCUUUCCUUCAUUCAUUUUCUAAUAUUAUUAGAUUAUUCUAUAAAGUAUUACUGCAGAAAUUCUUUGUAGAAAUUGAGUUUUUGAUAUACAUUGCUUAGUGCGUAGUGGACUAUUCUCGUCAGUGCAAAACGUAAAUAGUCAUUGGCUUCAUUGCAUCCUCGAGGUUAAUUUGCUUGGAACUCAUUUGCACAUCGAAGAUAGGUGGGGGCGAAUAUAACCUUAAAGAUAGUGGCUUAAUACACACCUUGGAGCAUUGUCCUUUUUCUUCUUUUUUUGUUCGAGUUCUGUUCGUGUGUUCGAGAUUUUUCUCACCGGAGUUUUGUACUAACAAUAUUUACAUUGAAUUCAAAUACAUAUUCUACAAUUAACUUUAAUCUCACUGUUACAAUACUUAACCUCACUAAAUUACUUGUUUAACAUGAUUAUCGUGAAUUUAUAGAAAGAAAAAUCACGAAGCAAAUGCAGAUGCACUUAUGUUUAAAGUGUUUUUAAUUGAACUUUUAUUAUUUUGAAAAAUAAAAGUAUAAUAACUUUUUUUGCAUUCCAACUUUAUAAAAGAAUUAUUUUAGCUCUUUAUUUAUUUCCCUUCUCUUUUAGUCUUUGAACUUACAUUUUUUUUGUCAAACCAUCCAAAAUGGGUGAAAAAGUUAACGUUUGUUAACUUUGUUGACAUGACAUAUAGGUGGAUUACCACGAGUAUGUCACGUUAGCAAUUAAUUAUUUUUAAAAAAUUAAAAAAUAUUUUCUUAUUAUUUUUUAAUUUUUUUAAUUUUUUUAAUGUUUAAAAUAUUUUUUAAAUGUUUUAAAAUUUUAAAAAAUAAUUAAUUGCUUAUGUGGCAUAUACAUGGAAAUCCGCGUGUAUGUCACAUCAGUAAAAUCAACAGACGUUAAAUUUUCACUCAUUUUGGAGUGAUUUAACAAAAAUUACAAGUUUAAGAACUAAAAGAAACGAAAAAUUAAAUGAUAAGUUGAAAUAACUUUUUCCGUAAACUUGGAGACCAAAAGAAUCAUUAUGGCAAAAAAUAGUUGUUUUUCUUCUCUUUUCUUCUUUUCUUUUUGGUAUCUUUUAGUGCUAAAAUUCAAGAUGGUGUGGAAUAGUUUCUAAUCUUAUUAUUGUUAUAUAUGUUUUCGAUCUCAUUAGAGCUAUAAUCUCAUUGUCUAUAUAAAGAGAGCCUAAAUAUAAUUUGUUCAGCUUCUAUUAAACAUGUUAGUGCUCCUUUGUACGAUCAUUUUCCUCCCGUGAGUAGGGUUGAGUAAAUAAAAUAAAAUAAUUGAAAAUCGAUCCAAAUCAAGGUGUUUAGACGGUUUAUGGAAUACAAAUUAAAAAAUCACAAUUAUCCGAAACCGAACAAAAUUCUAUUCUUUAUUUAACUUAUAAAUAAUUUUUUAUAACAUAAAAAAUCUUUUAUAUUGAAAAAUAGUGAAAAUAAAUAUAUAUAUAUAUUUUAAAAAUAUUAUAUAAAAGUAUUUGAUUAUUUUUAUUUACUUAAAAAAUUUUAAAAAAUAUCUAUGAAAAUAACUUUGAAAAUUUGUCUAAUGAUAAUUAAAAGCCGUAAAAUAAAGUUUAUUUUAUUAAAAUAAUUAUAAAAAUUUAUAAUAAAAAAUCGAACUAAACUAAAUUAUAAUGGAUGGAUAAAAAAAUGCAAUUGAAUUAAACUAAUAUCACUUAAUUUUAUUGCACCAAACUGCACAUAAAAGAUUUUCUUAAAAAAUUUAACCUGCAAUGACACUGUUUUUCUCACUAAAACCUUCUAGAGCGUGCAAUGUCCUCGCCAAGUAAGUAAAUUCAAUAGAGGUUGGAGGCUAAAGGUUGAUACAUAAAAGAAGGGGAGGGGCACAGUUCUGCUUCAACCAAAACCCCAAAUUUAGCAUCUUGAGUUGUUAAAAUAAGUAAAUUCACCAUACUUUUCCGUUAGAUUUUGGCUCUCUUCUUCAGCAGAAUGUGGCGUACAGUACAAGAAGCAGGGACCAUCCUUUCUACCAUGAUUUGAUUAUCUGCCCACAUAUUCCAACAAAACGAAUAUGGUAAUAAAUGUCAUCAAUUUCCUUCUAAUUUCCAAUUGAUCUGAUAGAAAUGGUGUAAUUCAAGAGUACUUGUAUAAUAUAUAUGCCCAACUGAGUACUAGAUGGAAUCUAUGCUGUUGACGGACUCUUGGAGGCAUGUUCGAGAGAGCUUAAACACAUUUAUAUUUUUCAGUGUUCCAUACAAUAUUCUAAUGAGUGUCGAAUUCAUUAAAAUGAUGUAAAAAAUAAUAUAAGGAGUAGGGUCAAUCCACAGAAAUUGAGAUAUCAACAUUUGUUGUUUGCUUCAACCAAGUUGCACGUCUAGAUUCUUAUCCUGCCCACGAGGUGUGACUGUCUGUGCAAAAAUAAAAAGAAAAAUUCUAAUGUAAUAAAAGUAAAAAUAAUAAAGAUAAAAAUAAGCAAAAAGGAAAUUAAAUUAAAUAAACUAAUAUGAUGGAAUUCAAGCUUUAAGCUCGAUUUUGUUCCAAUUUCAAACCAAUGCACGAUAACAAGUCUUCUCCUUCAACCGAUAAGCCAGUUAUAGUGAUCGAGGAUGCCUCAGACCACUAACCCUUCCAUAUGUAAAUUAAUUACGAGAACACCCAACAAUUAAUCCUUAUCGAACCAACAACCACAAAACACGCAUCCACGAUUUAGCUCUCUGGUAGCCUUGUGAGCUAAAAGGGUCCAUCUCGAACCAACAACGUCAAUUACGUGAGUCGUUUAGAUCCGAUUGCUAACUUCUUAGUUGGACACGCCAAUGUGUUCUUCGGAAGAUCAAAUACGACAAAUGCUCAAUCCGGUACUUCCAAUUGUACGUCUAUCAACACCGAAUCAACGAGCUAUUUUUAACAUGGUGUGAACACAACUUUGUGAGAUGCCAAUAUCUAUCUCCUAAAUCAGAGAAACAACAAAUACCGAAAUAAAAGUUUUUAAGUAUAAAUUUGGAUCUCACAGCUGUCUACUGGAUUAUUUAUUUAGCUACUAAUGAAAAUAUAUGAAAUAAAAGUAUAAAUAAAAUUUUAAAAAUAUGGAAAUAGGAUUGCGCAUGUAAGAGAGAAGUGAUAAACAAGUAUGAAUAAAAGAGGGGCAAAUUUUCCAAUAAUAAAGAAAAAAAAAUCAUCACCCUUUAAAAAAGAGUGGGCCAAUCUCACUUUUACCCUUUAAAAAAUAUAUACAAUAAUGUUGCAAUUGAUAAUUCUGCCCACCUUGUUCUUCUUUAUUCAUAACAUCAUGUGGUGCUAUUCAAGAAAAAUACAUUGAAAGCUGCAGAAAAUUUAUAAAGAAAGGCCGUCCGUUAAUAAAGUUUUUAAUAUAAAAUUAGUAACUUUUUAUUUAAUUAUUACUUAGUGGGUGGAUGGUGACAUCUUUAAAAUACAAUAUUGACUCUACGGGUAAUGUACGUAUGUAUUAACGCUUGUAUUUUCAUCUUGUUCAAAUCAUUUCACUCUUCCUCCUGCAAUAAUCAAACACUUUUUGCGUGCCAUCAAUGGCUGAAGCAUUGCUUUCGAUAUUGCUGGAGAGCUCAUUACUAAGUUGAUCUCUCGAGCUCCCUCUCAGAUUGGAGUAUGGUGGAAUUUCAAAGAUGACCUCGAUGACUUCAAACAUUGUUGCUGUCAUAUCUGAAUGGGCUGAUCUAUGAAAAUUAAAUUAACUCUAAUACUACUUAAUUGUUAGGAUCAAUCCAAUUAAGCAAUAAGUAAAUAAAAUAGCGGAAUAAAUUGAGAAAUUGAACACAUAAAUUUAACGUGGAAAAAUCCCUUUAAAGAGGAUAAAAACCACGAGCAAAUAUAAUUUUACUAUAAUGGCAAAAGAACGAAGAGCAUAAAAGAUGGAGAUAAAAACUAAACCCCGAAAACCCGAAAACAAAGAACCCUAAAAACAUAAACACAAAAUUCUCUAAAUGUGUUAUGAGUCUUAUUAUUAAUUAUUGGUAUCGUUGAUGUAGCUGAGCGUGUUAAUAUUUGUUGUUAGUGGUAGUAACAUUUUAAUUAUUUUAUUCUACAUUUAUUUGUUUAUUGAAGUGGGUUGAUGAUUUUUAAUUGUUUAUUUUUGGAAAUCUUGUUUCAUUCUUUUGUUCCAUGUCAUGUUGGAAAAAGAGUUCGAAUAAACAUGUUUGGAGUAUUAGGGUUGUAUAAAUCUAAAUUUUAAGAGAUUGUUGGUAAGUCAAGUAAAAAAAUAUUUUUUAGAAAAUUUAGUAUUUAUUAAUAUAAUAUAUAUGUUUAGCAUUUAUUAGCAUAAUAUAUUUGAGAUUGAUUAGAAUUAGAUUUUUUUUAACCUAUAAAUAGAUGUAGUUGAAACUCCUAUCGUAUCAUUUGAAUUCAAACAAUUAAUGCAAUAACCAUAUAAAAUGGCGUUGGUUUGGAUACCCCUUUGAUGUUUUGUCUUCGUUUUGGUGUUUGUUUUGGGGGUUGUGUCUCUUUGGGUUAAUUUUCAAUAUAUGUGUGCUGAUGAUGCAAUGAAUAAAGAAAUCAAAAGUUAUGCAGAAAUUUCAAUUCUGGAUGGUGCUGCAAUUAUAUUUUUAAGAGUAGUAGCAUUUUAUUUGUUAUUAACAUAUAUUUGUUUAUUGGAUACGUGUGUUGAUGAUGCAGUGAAUAAAGAAAUCAAAAGUUGUGCAGAAAUUUCAAUUUUGGAUGGCGCUGUAAUUAUAUUAUUAAGAGUAGUAGGAUUUUAUGUUUCUUUUAGAUGUACAUAUAUUUAUUAGGAAAGGGUUCAAGUUUUUUAUUUGUUUAUUAUUAGGGUUAAAUAUCAAAUUUAUACCCUAGUUUUGGUUCAAUUGUAUAAUUUGAUACAUGAAUUUUGAUUUGGUGCAAUUAUCUACAUGAAACUUGAAUUAUGGUUCAUAUAUAUAUAAAACUUUGAUUUUGAUAUAAUUGUACGCAUUAAAGAAAUGAAUACCUAUAUUUAUUUUCACAUUGGAUUAAUAUAAUUGUAGCGACCUAAAAUUUUUGCGAGUUAGUCGAGGUCGUUACGAAAGGAAAUCUUGGGUUGACGAUUAUUGAAAAUUCGGAAAAGGUCUCAAUUUUACUUAAAAAGAGAUGAGUCGCCACCGGUCCUUUUUCUAAGUGAGAUCAGACACCUACUAAAUUCUCUUUUUAAAAGAAAAUUUAUUUUUAAAAUUCUCUUUAAAAAAAGUCGAUUUUAGGUCUGCGUCAAAAUCCAAAGAAAAUUAGAGUUCGGGAGUCUGUUAUGCACAAAGAAUGUAUUAACACCCUCGUGGCGCCCAAAAUCGGUAUCCCAUUAAAUGCGUGUUGUCUUAAAUUUUAAAAAUACGAAUUCAAUUUAAUAUUUAAUCAUGAUUCGAUUGAAAAAUGAGAAUUUUGAUAAAUUACAUAUUAUUGUAUUGUAUAUAUUUUAGAAUGAAAUACUGAUAAUUUACGAAUAAAAAUAAAGAUUUUAUUUUUAAUGAGAGAAUUUUUUUAAUUUUUUAAUUUUUAGAAGGGCGUUCCGUAUUUAAAAAAAGUCAAUGAUAUCCACCCAACAUAGCAGUGAAAUAAAUGACUUAAUGCUAAAUCGGUUCGUUGCCUUAGGUAUUGAAAUUAUUUAAAUUAAAAAUUGUAAAUGAAAUAUUUCUAAAAGGCUGUUUAAAAAUGCUAAUUUAAUUAAAAUGAAACAAUAUUUAAAUACAUGGACUAAAUAAAUAAAGACAUGCACCUUUGUUGUGAGAUAUCUAGUGAGUUCAAAAAUUCUCUUCUGAAAAUGGUGGCUAUCAUGUAAUUAGUAGUAUAUUAUUUCAAUUUUGGUGAGAAUUGUAUUCUCACUUAAACGCUUAAUGCCAUUUGCUAAAUUUUUUGUGUGGGUGAUCUUUUGAUCUGUUCAUAAACCGAACUUUUCAUGGUGGCUAAGUUUCUUAGGGGAUAAAUUAUUAGUAGCAUUAUUUGUUUCUGCAGUGAAAUUGUGAUGCCUGUAUUUUAAAAUGUGAGGUAUUAUCGUAUUUGAUGAUAUAGUGGAGUUUUGGUAGAUUAAACGGAUCGUUUGCUGAGCUAAGUUGAAAUUGAAUGAAUGCUGGCCUCAUCCAAUGUCCAAAACUUGAUGACUUCAACAUUUUGAUGCCUUAAUUUGAGAAGACUGAGUUAGAGUACUAUAAAACUUUCUCAGAAUGCUGAUGAGGCAAAGAUCUAGUGAUCUAAUAUAAUUGCAAUUCAUAGUAUGGUAGUUUCAAUGCUUUCGUAAGAGAGGAAGAUUAUGUCAUGCUACUCCAUUCUCGGUUUAAAUCAGUGCUCUAUAUGAAGAAAGGUUGAUGGGUGUUAGUUCUUUUGAUGUCUUGUCUUUGAUGGAUGUUUGAAAAAUGAUUCAGUUGAUAUUCAUAAUGUCUAUCACUACAGUUUCCCCCUUAUGUAUAAUAUGUCUGCUAGUUUGUCGGUCUUCGUAUAUUACAUUCCUUUUUCUUAUUGUUUUCAACACGAUAACAAGUGAGUUAGUAGCUAUUUUACUUGAUUUUGUCAUGGCAUUUCAAAGAUGACCUCAAGGACCUCAAAAGCACCAUCUCCACAAUCAAAGCUGUGCUUCUUGAUGCCGAAGAACAAUCCAUGACCAGCAGUCUCAUCAAAGAUUGGCUUGAAAAGUUGAAAGAUGCAUUUUAUGAUGCCGAUAAUUUUUCUACUGAUGCUUUGCGGAAAGAUCUACUGAGCAGGAACAAGCUAAUGAAAGAAGUAUGCCUUUUCUUUUCAAGCUCAAACCUAUUUGUUUAUGGUGCCAAAAUGGGUCAUCAAAUUAAGGCCAGGAUGUUCAACUUGGUAGAGUGUGACCGUCCCAUUAAAACCUCUUUCAUAACUAAGAAGAGACAGCGAACACACUCUUUUGUGAGUAAAGAUGAAAUAAUAGGGAGGGAAGAUGAUAAAGCAGCUUUUCUAGAACACAUAUUAGAGUUCCAAAGUGAAGAGAAUGUUUAUGUGGUUCCGAUUGUGGAGUUUGGAGGGUUAGGGAUGACUACAUUAGCACAGUUUGUCAAUGAAGUGGUCAAUGAUCAUUUUGAGUUGAGGAUAUGUAAAGAUUCCAAACUGGUCAUCUCGGAAGCGAUCUUAAAUUGGGCAAAUCAGAGAGAUAAAGAAAUUGCAACCCAAUCCGGAAGAUACCGACACUUUGGAAUUUUUGCCAGCGAUAGAGAGCGUAGGUUACAAUGCCAUGGACAGAUCACAGCUCCACUUUCUGUAUAGUUUCAAAAAUUACUCGGGGCAGAAGGCAAUGGGAGCCACAGCUCUCCUUACCCCUCCCCCCUUCCAAAUUUGGAAAAUUCUCAUUAAGCCUUCAAUUUUUUUGAAAAUUUUAAUUGAACUCCUCAAUUUUUUUAAAAAUUUUUCCUAAGCCUUUAAUAGUUUUAUAAGUUUUAAUUAGACCCUUUUUUUUGAAAUUCUCAUUAGGUUCUUUAAAAUUUUUGAAAAAUUUAAUUCCACAUUUCGCUACCUUUCUUCUCUGAUAGUUUUAGUUUAUUUGAAUGCUUGGAAUUAGGCUUUCACAUUGUUACAUUGUUGAAAAUUACUUGUAUUUUGAUAAGGAAAACAAUGGGAAAAAUAACAAUUAGAUACUUGGAAUAUUGGCUUGUGCCAUGAUACGCCUUUAUAAGGUGUUAUUCAACUUGUAAUUUGAUGUGUGCCAACAUAAGCAUCAACACACAAGUCAUGUAUAUACAGCCAGGACAUCGACAUCUUUUGGAAGAGUCCUAAUCCAAGCAUCAUAAUUGAACAUAGCCUUGGAAUACCGUCUAAAAACAAUUAUUGUCUCAUAAUCAAUUGUGCAUCCCUGCAUUUGAAUACUGUUUGGAACCCUAAAAAAACAUAAAUGUGUUUUUUCCUGAGUUGGUACAUAUUAUGCAACAAGGAAAAUAAAGAACACAAUCAAUAUAUUUACGCAGUUCGAAACUCGUCCUACGUUUGUGGGGCUUUGCCCCAAGAUGAAUACACUAUGAACUUCAUAGUACAAAGAAAUGAUUUAAGCUCAACCCCUCAAACAUUUGAUGCAAUCUCACUUUUGUACAGUUUAAGUAAAUUCUCUCCCAACUCAUUUUAGCUAUGCAAGUGAAAAUUCACAUUCAACACUCAAAUGGUUUUCCUACUAUGAAUCAAGCUCUUAAUAAGCUCCAUGUAAAGUGGAAUAAUAAAUUUUCAAAUGCAAUAUGUCUGGCAAUUGUCAUGCUUGAACAACGACUCUUCCAAAACCAUCAAUGAACCUGAAAAUUACAAAUGCCAACAUAGAAUAUGUUACAAAUCCCAUUAGUAUCAGCCUUAUAUUUGCACAUAUGUGUGUUUAGUAUAACGCUGUUGAUAUAUAAAUAAUGAAACAUUUUAUCAACUUCAACCUCACCACCAAAUAUUCCGAAGCAUCUUCCUUUUUUUCCUGUUUGGACCUUCAGUAACAAAUUUGGCUGGAAUUCUAAACAGCUAAAAGAGUUCCCUGCAUCAAUGAAUAUUAUGAAUUUGAAUACCUCCAAAAGCCUGUCAAUAUCACAGGUACCAUCUAAGAUAGUAAUCAGUUGGCAUAUAUUAAGAGAAAACAUAAAUAUAUAUAACGAUAUCAUCGGUAAGUGCUUAAAUGAAGAAAGCAGAGCAUAUAGUACAACCAUUUUGAAUGCUUCAUAGGCCUCUCUCUCCACAUCAAUUGUUUUUUAGAAUUAAAUUAUUAGAAGCAAUUGUCAAGUUAUAAUUAUGAUUUAAAAGUAAAAAGGAAAUAGAUAAAUUAGCACCUCUUUUUAUGCAUAUAAAAUGAUUGAAGUUGACUAAUGCCUUUCUGCAAUGCCUUACUGCACAAAUCAGCAAAAAUAUUAUGAAAGAUGAUAAGUAAAAAGUAGGAUUAAAACAAAGGCAUUUUAACAAGGAAAUUAAUAGUAUCCAACUUCAAUGAAAAAUGGCAUCAGACCCCUGACUUGGAGAUUCAAUAUACCACUCCUAUUUUUCUUCAAAAAAAGAUGAGGUCAUCAAAAUAAAUAAAUAACAAAGACAGACCAACCUGAUCCAACCGAAUGUUGGGGAUGUGAGCAAUCUUUUGCCAAUCAGCGCCAAUGUCCUUCCGACAUCUUUCCUCCAACAGAGGAAUUUCUUGUAUUUGUAAAUACUCCAAACAGGUUAGGCAACACAUCUCGUCCGGAAGAGAUGUUAAAUUGGGCAAAUUAACGAGAUAAAGCUGUUCCAGAUUUGUUAGAUGUUGAAGCCGCUCCGGAAGAUGCCGACACUUUGGAAUAUUUUCCAGCCAUAGAAGGCGUAGGCUUGUAUGAUCUUGGAAUAUUUGGAUGCCAGCUCCAGAUAACUCCAGCUCCUUGCAGUCCUUUACUUCAAACAGUUCAAGGAAAGUGAGGUGUUGGAACACAGGAAGCAGUGACCUCAAUCCAUUGCAGUUAUGAAUUCUUAAUGUUUUCAAUUGAACAAGAUGUUGAAGCCAAAUGGGGAGAGACACCAGCUUUGGAAAAUUAUCAAUCUCCAAACAAGAGAGAUUCUUCAGGGGUUCCCAUUGCAUGCCAUCUAAAUCAACCUCCUUGCAAUCUCCUAUUGUUAAUCGUUUGAGGUUGGUGAGAUGUUGCAGGCACUCAUCUAGCGUGUGAGUGUCCAACCCCUCAAUGUUGUAUACAUCGAAAGAUUUCAAUUUGGAGAGUGGAAGAGAAGAGGUUGAAGUUGAUGGGGCCUUAGCAUUGAUGUUCAUCUUGAUAGUCUGCUUUAACGGCCUUGAACUGGUAUUCGACAACAUUAGAUAUUCAUCGAGUGAUGGAUACAGUGGCAUUAAAUUCAAAGGGCAAUUUCUAAUGUUUAAAGAGGAAAGACAAGGAAAUGCCAUGGUUGAUGUUCCCAUAACUGUUGUGUCGUCCUCGUUGGAAUCAUCAUCGAUUGGUUUUAUCGUCCUCCACCAACUCUUCAUAUUUGGGCAAUCCCGUAGGCAAAGAUACUUAAGCGAUGGGAAGAAUGAUUGUUGUUCUCCUUGACUUCCUUUUGGGCUAUUAUCAUCCAUGUACUCCAGCUCAGUUAAAUCACAAAUUACCAAAUCUUGAAGACAAGGAAAUUGAGCAAAGGAUGGGAGGUGUUUGAAUUUACUACGAAGACCCAUUAUAUUAAUAUGGACGAGAUUUGUGAGCAAAGGAAGCCAACUUGGAAACUUGGCAUCACCCCUCCAUCCUGAAAUACGUAGCUCCUUGAGAUUAGGAUGGGGCUGGAGGUCUUCAAGUGACUCCUCAUCAUCAUGGUUGCCACCGCCCCAUUCUAAAGCCAACGAUCUCAAAUGUUGCUUCUCUUUCAAAUUAGCAGCCUUAAACUUCUCUUUUGCAUUUUUUACGAAUCCCAAAUUUGUUAUUCUUAACUCUCCCCUUAAGUUGUUAAGCAGUCUCAGUUCACUUAGAUCUGCACCGCCAUGGGACCCAUCUUUAUCCACUACAAACAUGCUUAACGUCUCAAGUGAAGUCAGCUUCCCUAUUCCACGUGGCAUAUGAGUUAAACUAAAACAAUCUUCACACCCAAGAUGGGUAAGAUUCACCAAUUUUUCAAUGUUCUUUGGCAAUUCUUUAAGCCCAGUACACCCAUCAAGUUUCAGCGCUAGCAAAUUCUGAAUCUUGCAAAUACUCUUUGGGAGAAUCUUAAGUCCGGGAUUAUAAGAAAGAUCCAGGUACCUCAAAUGUUUCAACUUACAAAUGGAGGGUGAAAUCUUUUGAAUACCUAUAGAAUUCAAUUUCAAUACACGCAAGCAUCUACAAUUUGCAAUUAUCAAAUCCCAAGUUUCAUAGCUGAAAUCUUGAAUUUUUCUGUCUUGAAAAUGUAACAAGCUUCGCAACUUCUUUCCCUUAAACAAAGGAAUUAAUGAAGGAAUUAAUAAAGGAUUAAUUGAUAUGUGGCGACAUUUUUCACCAACAUCACUUGCAAUUUUAUUUGAAUCUACAAUACUACUCUCCAUCCCUGCUACUGAUUCAGCUAGAUCAUGCAUUAAAUCAUGCAUUUUACAUGUUAGCCCUUCCCAUGAAUAUCUUUCUCCUACUUCUUGGAAGAAACUUCUUUCAACUAAAUCUUUAAAAUACCCAAACCCGAUCUCCUCUAGAGAUUGACUUUGAUUCAAUUGCUUUAUGAAACCCUGUGCAAUCCAAAAUUGAACAAGCGCUUGUACUUCAAUUCUGUAAUCUUUUGGGUACAAUCGGCAAUAUGCAAAGCAAUGCUUCAAAUGAGACGGGAGAUGAUCAUAACUCAAUUUCAGUAUAGGUAGAAGUUCUCCUUCAAUUUGUGAUAUUUUAGCAAGUUCAUUUUCUUUGAAAGAAUGCCACUCAUUUGCAGUUUUCUUCAAAGAUAAUGUACCAGCUAUCGUCCUUAUGGCUAAGGGAACCCCACCACACCUUUCCGAAAUC
RNAcentral lists this long non-coding RNA (19264 nucleotides) under Gossypium barbadense (sea-island cotton). Its description in RNAcentral is "long non-coding RNA (GBAR_LNC021359)". Lineage: Eukaryota; Viridiplantae; Streptophyta; Magnoliopsida; Malvales; Malvaceae. The record is from RNAcentral.